This is a long non-coding RNA of Pseudopipra pipra, 1088 nucleotides long. RefSeq lists it as uncharacterized. Lineage: Eukaryota; Metazoa; Chordata; Aves; Passeriformes; Pipridae. The record is from RefSeq and is a predicted model, not a curated record. The transcript is spliced from 3 exons.
UCAAUGGGAUAAGAGCUCUCCCUUUCUUUCAUUUAAUGGGACUUCUCAAGCUAUUCCUGCUUUAUUAAAGCAUCAGCUUUGGUAUCCAAAGAAGCAGAGCUGUAUAUGGCAAUGAAGAGGAUUACACUCACAUGCAGGGUUUUUAAAUUUAAUAACUUGGUGUUGGUAAGCUGCUUUUAUAAUUGGUUAUCUGUUUCUCUUUUCCUUAGGAGCCUUGCAUCUUUUGGGAUUUCCUGAUCAUUUCAACUGCAGUUUGGCAUUUUUUCACCAGUGUUAUCCAGUCCUCAGGUGAAGCUGCUCUGUGUUGAAGAUGCUACAGACACCCACGUUUGCAAGUAGUCAGUGGGGGGUUACAGCCCAGAGAUGGAGGGAGGGCUGGGGUGCCAGCUUAGGAAUUGCUAGGGGUUUUUUGAAAGUAGUAUGGGUGGAAAGCAGUGUCCAGGAGCCCCCUAAAUGCCUGUGAAGGCACCCACUGACUUUUCAGAUGUGCCACUUAAGUUUUCCUCUCAUUCACCCAGAUAUUCUGUGCGAUUACAGCUGCAGUCUUUGGCUGCAGGCAGUGACCCUGGGUGGUUUGCCUAAAGAGAAGGGAGACUCUUUGAGCUCUCCCCAUCUAUCUGGGUGACUUUGGUUAGGGUUUCUUUACCAUGUCAGAGGGGCAGGGUGUAAAGCAGAGUUGAACAGAACAGAGGCCAGAGGAGCAGAGCAAGAAGCUGCAGAGCCCUGGGCCCAGGAGGCUCUAGGCACCGGAGGGGAGGUGAUCCAGGGGUUCUGCCACCUUCUAACAGACAGUCCAGUGCUUCAGGGCCCGUGCUGGUAAGAGGUCACUGUGGAGGAGAGGUAGGUAGGAGCUACCCCAGGAAAGCCAUCCUUUCAGGCAGUACCUCAGUCUGUACAUUUGCCUUUGGCUUUUUUACUUUGCAGAGAAUGUGUGCAGCCUGAGAGGGCCAGAGCCACCUGCCAGUUAGGUUUGAUGGUCUUCAUCUGUCCUUGUGAGUAAUCUCCUAGUACUACGAGGGUCAUCAAUUCAGGCUGGACCUUUUCCAGCUGCAGGUGCCAUCCAGCCUGCCUUUGGCAAAGGAGGAGCA